AGUCUCAGAGUGAUCACUGGCGGCAGACCUUAUACAUGCUAGUCGAACGGUAACAGGAGAAAAGCUUACUUUUCUAGCGGUCGAGUGGCGCAUGGGUGAGUAUCAUUUUGGAAAGUGCCUGAUAGAGGGGGACAACAGUAGGAAAUGACAAGUAAUACCGCAUAAAUCUUGAGGGGUAAAACAGCAAUGCGCUUUCAGAUGGGCCCAAGCGGGAUUAGCUAGUAGGUGAGGUAAAGGCUCACCUAGGCGACGAUCUGUAGCUGGUCUGAGAGGGUGAUCAGCCACAUUGGGAAUGAGACACGGCCCAAACUCUUACGGGAGGCAGCAGUAGGGAAUAUUGCACAAUGGGGGAAACCCUGAUGCAGCCAUGCCGCGUGUGUGAAGAAGGCUUUCGGGUCGUAAAGCACUUUCGGCGGGGAAGAAAAUGACGUUACCCUCAUAAGAAGCCCCGGCUAACUACGUGCCAGCAGCCGCGGUAAUACGUAGGGGGCAAGCGUUAUUCGGAUUUACUGGGUGUAAAGGGCGCGCAGGCGGUUUUACAAGUAGGAUGUGAAAUCCCCGGGCUCAACCCCGGGCUUGCAUUGGAAACUGUACAACUAGAGUACUGCAGAGGAGACGGAAUUCCAGGUGUAGCGGUGAAAUGCGUAGAUAUCAGGAGACCACCAGUGGCGAAGGCAGUCUCCUGGACAACUACUGACGCU
This 701-nucleotide ribosomal RNA is filed under the name Succinivibrio sp. R28. Its description in RNAcentral is "bacterial SSU rRNA". It matches the Rfam family "Bacterial small subunit ribosomal RNA", at positions 20 to 747 of the family's 1533-position model. Lineage: Bacteria; Pseudomonadati; Pseudomonadota; Gammaproteobacteria; Aeromonadales; Succinivibrionaceae. The record is from RNAcentral.